RNAcentral lists this ribosomal RNA (231 nucleotides) under Klebsiella pneumoniae. RNAcentral describes it as "partial 23S ribosomal RNA". It matches the Rfam family "Bacterial large subunit ribosomal RNA", at positions 816 to 1045 of the family's 2925-position model. Lineage: Bacteria; Pseudomonadati; Pseudomonadota; Gammaproteobacteria; Enterobacterales; Enterobacteriaceae. The record is from RNAcentral.
UCGGAGUGAAAGGCUAAUCAAGCUCGGAGAUAGCUGGUUCUCCCCGAAAGCUAUUUAGGUAGCGCCUCGUGUAUCACUGCUGGGGGUAGAGCACUGUUUCGGCUAGGGGGUCAUCCCGACUUACCAAACCGAUGCAAACUCCGAAUACCAGCAAGUGUCAGCACGGGAGACACACGGCGGGUGCUAACGUCCGUCGUGAAAAGGGAAACAACCCAGACCGUCAGCUAAGGU